This 253-nucleotide ribosomal RNA is filed under the name uncultured bacterium. Its description in RNAcentral is "partial 16S ribosomal RNA". It matches the Rfam family "Bacterial small subunit ribosomal RNA", at positions 524 to 776 of the family's 1533-position model. The record is from RNAcentral.
UACGUAGGGGGCAAGCGUUGUCCGGAUUUAUUGGGCGUAAAGCGCGUGUAGGCGGCCAGAUAGGUCUGCUGUGAAAACUCGAGGCUCAACCUCGAGCUGUCGGCGGAAACCAUCUGGCUAGAGUCCGGAAGAGGAGAGUGGAAUUCCUGGUGUAGCGGUGAAAUGCGCAGAUAUCAGGAAGAACACCUAUGGCAAAGGCAGCUCUCUGGGACGGUACUGACGCUGAGACGCGAAAGCGUGGGGAGCGAACAGG